UCUAGUUUCUUAAAGUAGUUUGACUCAAAGGACAUACCAUCACCCAAAAAGAAGUUGUUCUGUCAAGAGAUAUCCAUCUCCUAUAGGAAGUGAUACGUCGGCCAGUCCCAAGCCCAGGUAAGGGAGGACUGAUGGCAAGUGGGCAGCUGCUGUGACUUGCACAAGUGGAGAUGCUUCUCCAGAUUGUCAUUGUGUACUGAAACUCCAUAUAUCUUGGGUGACAAACACCCUUUCCAGAAAUGGACAGUCAACAUGGUGUAGAAGGACAGACGAGCUUGUUGAUGGCUUGGUUUUCAUGUUCAUUUGGCUAGGUUUUGAAAGGCAUUGGAGUAAACCCCAUCAAG
Molecule: long non-coding RNA, 344 nt
Organism: Magnolia sinica
Lineage: Eukaryota; Viridiplantae; Streptophyta; Magnoliopsida; Magnoliales; Magnoliaceae
Exons: 3
Source: RefSeq, a predicted model, not a curated record